This 462-nucleotide ribosomal RNA is filed under the name uncultured Anaerolineaceae bacterium. RNAcentral describes it as "bacterial SSU rRNA". It matches the Rfam family "Bacterial small subunit ribosomal RNA", at positions 906 to 1382 of the family's 1533-position model. The record is from RNAcentral. Lineage: Bacteria; Bacillati; Chloroflexota; Anaerolineae; Anaerolineales; Anaerolineaceae.
GGAAGUUGACGGGGACCCGCACAAGCAGCGGAGCGUGUGGUUUAAUUCGUUGCUACACGAAGAACCUUACCUGGGUUUGACAUAUAGGUUGUAGGGAACUGAAAAGGGACGACCCUUCGGGGAGCCUAUACAGGUGUUGCAUGGCUGUCGUCAGCUCGUGUCGUGAGAUGUUCGGUUAAGUCCGCUAACGAGCGCAACCCUCGUCGUAUGUUAUAUGUGUCAUACGAGACUGCCGGUAAAAGCCGGAGGAAGGUGAGGAUGAUGUCAAGUCAGCAUGACCUUUAUAUCCAGGGCUACACACACGCUACAAUGGUCUGUACAAUGGGUAGCCAAGCCGCGAGGCGGAGCCAAUCCUGAAAGCAGGCCUCAGUUCAGAUUGCAGUCUGCAACUCGACUGCAUGAAGCCGGAGUUGCUAGUAACCGCAGGUCAGCAAUACUGCGGUGAAUACGUUCCCGGGUCUU